RNAcentral lists this transfer RNA (69 nucleotides) under Odontobutis interrupta. RNAcentral's name for it is "tRNA-Ala". It matches the Rfam family "tRNA". From Rfam's summary of the family: Transfer RNA (tRNA) molecules are approximately 80 nucleotides in length. Their secondary structure includes four short double-helical elements and three loops (D, anti-codon, and T loops). Lineage: Eukaryota; Metazoa; Chordata; Actinopteri; Gobiiformes; Odontobutidae. RNAcentral also lists the same sequence under 1 other name. The record is from RNAcentral.
AGGGCUUUAGCUUAAUUAAAGUGUCUGUUUUGCAUACAUAGGAUGUGGGUUAGUGUCCCGCAAGUCUUA